Molecule: ribosomal RNA, 253 nt
Filed under: uncultured bacterium
Lineage: Bacteria
Description: partial 16S ribosomal RNA
Rfam family: Bacterial small subunit ribosomal RNA
Source: RNAcentral
UACGGGGGGGGCAAGCGUUGUUCGGAAUUACUGGGCGUAAAGGGCUCGUAGGCGGCCAACUAAGUCAGACGUGAAAUCCCUCAGCUUAACUGGGGAACUGCGUCUGAUACUGGAUGGCUUGAGUUUGGGAGAGGGAUGCGGAAUUCCAGGUGUAGCGGUGAAAUGCGUAGAUAUCUGGAGGAACACCGGUGGCGAAGGCGGCAUCCUGGACCGACACUGACACUGAUGAGCGAAAGCCAGGGGAGCAAACGGG